RNAcentral lists this transfer RNA (65 nucleotides) under Amblyomma hebraeum (bont tick). RNAcentral describes it as "tRNA-Val". Lineage: Eukaryota; Metazoa; Arthropoda; Arachnida; Ixodida; Ixodidae. The record is from RNAcentral.
AAAAAUGAAAUCAAUAAUGAUGUUUCAUUUACAAUGAAAAUUUUGUAAAUUUUUUACCAUUUUUU